RNAcentral lists this ribosomal RNA (678 nucleotides) under uncultured Glomus. RNAcentral describes it as "SSU rRNA". It matches the Rfam family "Eukaryotic small subunit ribosomal RNA", at positions 339 to 1022 of the family's 1831-position model. The record is from RNAcentral. Lineage: Eukaryota; Fungi; Glomeromycota; Glomeromycetes; Glomerales; Glomeraceae.
GCCUACCAUGGUUUUAACGGGUAACGGGGAAUUAGGGCUCGACUCCGGAGAGGGAGCUGAGAAACGGCUACCACAUCCAAGGAUGGCAGCAGGCGCGCAAAUUACCCAAUCCCGACACGGGGAGGUAGUGACAAUAAAUAACAAUACAGGGCUCUUUCGGAUCUCGUAAUUGGAAUGAGUACAAUUUAAAUCUCUUAACGAGGAACAAUUGGAGGGCAAGUCUGGUGCCAGCAGCCGCGGUAAUUCCAGCUCCAAUAGCGUAUAUUAAAGUUGUUGCAGUUAAAAAGCUCGUAGUUGAAUUUCGGGAUCAACAGAUUGGUCGUGCCAUCGGUACGCACUGGCCCAAUUGGUUUCUCCCUUUUGACGAAGCAUGAUGUCAUUAAUUUGAUGUCGCGGGGAAUCAGGACUGUUACUUUGAAAAAAUUAGAGUGUUUAAAGCAGGCUUUAGCUUGAAUACAUUAGCAUGGAAUAAUGAAAUAGGACGUUUGAUCUUAUUUUGUUGGUUUCUAGGAUCAACGUAAUGAUUAAUAGGGAUAGUUGGGGGCAUUAGUAUUCAAUUGUCAGAGGUGAAAUUCUUGGAUUUAUUGAAGACUAACUACUGCGAAAGCAUUUGCCAAGGAUGUUUUCAUUAAUCAAGAACGAAAGUUAGGGGAUCGAAGACGAUCAGAUACCGUCGUA